This 253-nucleotide ribosomal RNA is filed under the name uncultured bacterium. RNAcentral describes it as "partial 16S ribosomal RNA". It matches the Rfam family "Bacterial small subunit ribosomal RNA", at positions 524 to 776 of the family's 1533-position model. The record is from RNAcentral.
UACGUAGGGAGCAAGCGUUGUCCGGAUUUAUUGGGCGUAAAGAGCUCGUAGGCGGUUCCGUAAGUCAGGUGUGAAAAAUCUGGGCUCAACCCAGUGGAGCACCUGAUACUGCGGUGACUCGAGUCCGGUAGGGGAGUGUGGAAUUCCUGGUGUAGCGGUGAAAUGCGCAGAUAUCAGGAAGAACACCCGUGGCUAAGGCGGCUCUCUAGUACGGUACUGACGCUGAGACGCGAAAGCGUGGGGAGCGAACAGG